CAAUAGCGUAUAUUUAAGUUGCUGCAGUUAAAAAGCUCGUAGUUGGAUUUCGGGUGGGAAUGGCCGGUCCGCCGUUUCGGUGUGCACUUGCUACGCCCACCUUGCUGCCGGGGACGUGCUCUUGAGUUCACGCUCGGGACACGGAGUCGGCGAGGUUACUUUGAGUAAAUUAGAGUGUUCAAAGCAGGCCUACGCUCUGAAUACAUUAGCAUGGAAUAACACGAUAGGACUCUGGCCUAUCUUGUUGGUCUGUAGGACCGGAGUAAUGAUUAAGAGGGACAGUUGGGGGCAUUCGUAUUUAAUUGUCAGAGGUGAAAUUCUCGGAUUUAUGAAAGACGAACAACUGCGAAAGCAUUUGCCAAGGAUGUUUUCAUUAA
Molecule: ribosomal RNA, 377 nt
Filed under: uncultured eukaryote
Lineage: Eukaryota
Description: partial 18S ribosomal RNA
Rfam family: Eukaryotic small subunit ribosomal RNA
Source: RNAcentral